This 27-nucleotide small RNA is filed under the name Bombyx mori (domestic silkworm). RNAcentral describes it as "ovarian small RNA-23164". Lineage: Eukaryota; Metazoa; Arthropoda; Insecta; Lepidoptera; Bombycidae. The record is from RNAcentral.
UAGUUGAGUUCGCCGAAAAUCUACAUU